AUUGAACGCUGGCGGCAGGCCUAACACAUGCAAGUCGAGCGGAUGAAGGGAGCUUGCUCCUGGAUUCAGCGGCGGACGGGUGAGUAAUGCCUAGGAAUCUGCCUGGUAGUGGGGGAUAACGUCCGGAAACGGGCGCUAAUACCGCAUACGUGCUGAGGGAGAAAGUGUGGGAUCUUCGGACCUCACGCUAUCAGAUGAGCCUAGGUCGGAUUAGCUAGUUGGUGGGGUAAAGGCCUACCAAGGCGACGAUCCGUAACUGGUCUGAGAGGAUGAUCAGUCACACUGGAACUGAGACACGGUCCAGACUCCUACGGGAGGCAGCAGUGGGGAAUAUUGGACAAUGGGCGAAAGCCUGAUCCAGCCAUGCCGCGUGUGUGAAGAAGGUCUUCGGAUUGUAAAGCACUUUAAGUUGGGAGGAAGGGCAGUAAGUUAAUACCUUGCUGUUUUGACGUUACCAACAGAAUAAGCACCGGCUAACUUCGUG
Molecule: ribosomal RNA, 484 nt
Filed under: uncultured bacterium
Lineage: Bacteria
Description: partial 16S ribosomal RNA
Rfam family: Bacterial small subunit ribosomal RNA
Source: RNAcentral